Molecule: unclassified non-coding RNA, 163 nt
Filed under: soil metagenome
Description: partial internal transcribed spacer 1
Source: RNAcentral
CCGAGUUUACAACUCCCAAACCCUUUGUGAACCUUACCUAUCGUUGCUUCGGCGGGACCGCCCCGGCGCCCUUCAAAACGCGCCGGAACAAGGCGCCCCGCCGGAGGUAUUCAAACUCUUGUUUUUUAGUGGUAUCUCUGAGUGGCGAAAGCAAAAUGAAUCA